RNAcentral lists this transfer RNA (57 nucleotides) under Philodromus sp. Its description in RNAcentral is "tRNA-Thr". The record is from RNAcentral. Lineage: Eukaryota; Metazoa; Arthropoda; Arachnida; Araneae; Philodromidae.
GUUUAAUUAGUUUAAGUAAAACAAAGGUUUUGUAAAUCUUAUAUCUAUAUAUUAAAA